This 300-nucleotide ribosomal RNA is filed under the name uncultured Hydrogenophaga sp. Its description in RNAcentral is "partial 16S ribosomal RNA". It matches the Rfam family "Bacterial small subunit ribosomal RNA", at positions 1 to 316 of the family's 1533-position model. Lineage: Bacteria; Pseudomonadati; Pseudomonadota; Betaproteobacteria; Burkholderiales; Comamonadaceae. The record is from RNAcentral.
CAUGGAGUUGAUCCUGGCUCAGAUUGAACGCUGGCGGCAUGCUUUACACAUGCAAGUCGAACGGUAACAGGUUAAGCUGACGAGUGGCGAACGGGUGAGUAAUGCAUCGGAACGUGCCCGAUCGUGGGGAUAACGCAGCGAAAGCUGCGCUAAUACCGCAUACGAUCUGAGGAUGAAAGCGGGGGACCGUAAGGCCUCGCGCGAUCGGAGCGGCCGAUGUCAGAUUAGGUAGUUGGUGGGUAAAGGCUCACCAAGCCAACGAUCUGUAGCUGGUCUGAGACGGACGACCAGCCACGACGU